UACGUAGGGGGCGAGCGUUGUCCGGAUUUAUUGGGCGUAAAGAGCUCGUAGGCGGUUUGGUAAGUCGGGUGUGAAAUCUCCACGCUCAACGUGGAGGGGCCACUCGAUACUGCCAUGACUCGAGUCCGGUAGAGGAGUGUGGAAUUCCCGGUGUAGCGGUGAAAUGCGCAGAUAUCAGGAGGAACACCGAUGGCGAAGGCAGGUCUCUGGGCCACUACUGACGCUGAGAAGCGAAAGCAUGGGGAGCGAACAGG
RNAcentral lists this ribosomal RNA (254 nucleotides) under uncultured bacterium. Its description in RNAcentral is "partial 16S ribosomal RNA". It matches the Rfam family "Bacterial small subunit ribosomal RNA", at positions 524 to 776 of the family's 1533-position model. The record is from RNAcentral.